This 429-nucleotide ribosomal RNA is filed under the name Klebsiella pneumoniae. Its description in RNAcentral is "bacterial SSU rRNA". It matches the Rfam family "Bacterial small subunit ribosomal RNA", at positions 1 to 424 of the family's 1533-position model. The record is from RNAcentral. Lineage: Bacteria; Pseudomonadati; Pseudomonadota; Gammaproteobacteria; Enterobacterales; Enterobacteriaceae.
ACUUAAAUUGAAGAGUUUGAUCAUGGCUCAGAUUGAACGCUGGCGGCAGGCCUAACACAUGCAAGUCGAGCGGUAGCACAGAGAGCUUGCUCUCGGGUGACGAGCGGCGGACGGGUGAGUAAUGUCUGGGAAACUGCCUGAUGGAGGGGGAUAACUACUGGAAACGGUAGCUAAUACCGCAUAACGUCGCAAGACCAAAGUGGGGGACCUUCGGGCCUCAUGCCAUCAGAUGUGCCCAGAUGGGAUUAGCUAGUAGGUGGGGUAACGGCUCACCUAGGCGACGAUCCCUAGCUGGUCUGAGAGGAUGACCAGCCACACUGGAACUGAGACACGGUCCAGACUCCUACGGGAGGCAGCAGUGGGGAAUAUUGCACAAUGGGCGCAAGCCUGAUGCAGCCAUGCCGCGUGUGUGAAGAAGGCCUUCGGGUU